Raphanus sativus (radish) is the source of this 924-nucleotide long non-coding RNA. RefSeq lists it as uncharacterized. Lineage: Eukaryota; Viridiplantae; Streptophyta; Magnoliopsida; Brassicales; Brassicaceae. The record is from RefSeq and is a predicted model, not a curated record. The transcript is spliced from 3 exons.
UGUCAACCAAAUAUUGACUGCAGCAGACAUAUUGAAGCAAAGAGUCAGUAAGUUCUUAUGACUGUUACUGUCACCAUAAUAGAUUCCUAAACAUAGCUGAUGUUUUCUUGAUUGGUGUUGGUGAAGGUAUGCACACCAGGUUGCUGAAAUCUUUUACUUUUUCAAACUUUUAUUAUGCUCUAAGUUGUGAAGCAUCUUGGUAACGUUUUAUACUGUGUUGUUUAGGUUAGCCUUCCCCUAUUAUAUGUGUCGAGUCUACUGCUUGAUAGCUGCUUAGUUCAUUGUUGUGUUUUAUUUUUCUGAUGAGUUGCAACUGUUUACUUAUUAUUCCCCCAACAGAGAUGUAACUGUUUACUUAUUUUUGUGGGACGAGGCUGCGUCAAUCUUCAGGGGUCUCUUGAAAGCAGGGGAUAAAUCACAGUUUGUGAUGUUGGUGCCAUGGUUAAUCCAAAACUAUUUGGAGUGAACCUGUACUUAAACUCCACACUAGGAACUAGGUUCUUUUUCGACACCAACCUCCCUGAAAUAACAGAGUGUGUCAGCAGUUAAGAACAGAAUACUCAAGUAGUAACAGAGAUUCUCCGUAUUGUGAUGCUACCAUACAUACUAUAUGCAGGGUGGGAGGUGCAUCAUCCCAAGCUUUUCCUAAUGUCGACACUCUCGAAAGGAUUAAGAGAGGAAGUUGGUUCUUCUCCCCUAGACACACUCUCAUUCCUUAAAGUAGAAGUUGACGUAAAUUGGAAUCUGUAUGGGGAACGCCUCUGCUUGAAGUUGAAGGAGAAGUUUCAGAUUGUGUUCUAAUUAUUAUAGAUUUUGAGAUUAUUCAAUUGUGUUCUAAUUAAGCGAAUCUAAAACCUUUUAGCAUUGUUUUAAGUUGACCAAAGAAAAACAGUCGUGUUAUCCCUUUCUGAGUUGUACAUUUUA